Molecule: long non-coding RNA, 601 nt
Filed under: Anser brachyrhynchus (Pink-footed goose)
Lineage: Eukaryota; Metazoa; Chordata; Aves; Anseriformes; Anatidae
Description: lncRNA (ENSABRG00000016420.1)
Source: RNAcentral
UUCUCUGGGACUUCAGCGUGUAUGUAAAAUGUGAGCGUCGUUUGAAUUCUUGACUAAAAGAAGGUAUUGUAUUUAUGCGUUCCCAAAUAGUAAUGCCUUUAUGCAAUUAUGUCCGUGCUUGAGCUAAACUCCAGCUCCAGAGGCAACCCCGAGCUCUGUGGCCAGCCGCGUCCAUGCAGCACAAACCGGGGCCGUCGGCUGGCAGGACCCCGUGGGCAGCGCUGACGCUGCGCGGUUCAGCUGGUCUCUGUGGUCUGGUGCUGUGUGUGAGAGGCCUGUCAGCCCUAGAGCAACUGCACAUCUGUUUCUGCCGAGCAAUCACCUGUGUGUGAUGCAGAAAGCACAGGAGUGACUUCACUGUGAGCAACAAGAGCAAGAGCUGGGGUGAGCUGGACUCUGGGAAUCUAUGAAGAUGGACUACAUUUUUGGCAUAACAUCACUGACAAGAAUGUCUUGGGAGCUACAAAACAAUUUACAAAAUACACCAAGGAAAGCCUUUGAAAUACCUAAAGACAAACGCGGAUCAGUUACUUGUCCUGUAAGAUGCAAAGAGAGAGAGAGAGUGGUGCAUCACUGCUGUUUCCUGAAGCUGAAGUGUUGA